Molecule: ribosomal RNA, 258 nt
Filed under: Acinetobacter sp. 51m
Lineage: Bacteria; Pseudomonadati; Pseudomonadota; Gammaproteobacteria; Moraxellales; Moraxellaceae
Description: partial 16S ribosomal RNA
Rfam family: Bacterial small subunit ribosomal RNA (bases 42-258)
Source: RNAcentral
AUGAGCCAAGAUUGGUGCCCUUUAAGGCACUACAUAGUAUUAAACUGAAGAGUUUGAUCAUGGCUCAGAUUGAACGCUGGCGGCAGGCUUAACACAUGCAAGUCGAGCGGGGAAAGGUAGCUUGCUACUUGACCUAGCGGCGGACGGGUGAGUAAUGCUUAGGAAUCUGCCUAUUAGUGGGGGACAACAUCUCGAAAGGGAUGCUAAUACCGCAUACGUCCUACGGGAGAAAGCAGGGGACCUUCGGGCCUUGCGCUA